Bombyx mori (domestic silkworm) is the source of this 774-nucleotide long non-coding RNA. RefSeq lists it as uncharacterized. NCBI's taxonomy places the organism in Eukaryota, Metazoa, Arthropoda, Insecta, Lepidoptera, Bombycidae. The record is from RefSeq and is a predicted model, not a curated record. The transcript has 2 exons.
UCUAAAAAAUUUUUAGUUAACAGUUUAACGUAUAUUUUGAAAACAUUAAACUAAAUAAAUUAACUAAGUAUAUAACACUGUAUUUACUGAUCAUUGGCCUAAUUCUAAUAAGAUCCAGGAUCCAGAUAACGUGGAUACUGCGGUUAGGUAGACCUAACUCGGCCCGCCGACCAAGAUAGCUGACGCGCUUGUCUUACCUCUGAUGGCCAGUAUUUUUGUGGAUAAGGUACACAUUCAGGCAUUCACACACGUGCUUUAUGAAAAAAUAUAUGGAUCGGAAUGAAGUAAAUUGGAUUUAUUUGAGAUUGUAAUCAAUUGGGAUAAAAAUAAAUGAAACAAGAUGGAAUGGAAUGAAAAAAGUGUCUGUAAAAUGGGGAUUACUUACUAAGAAUUCGGUGGACUUUUUGGAAGAGCCCGAGAAGCCACGUCCAGCGAAUUAGUCUCAUCUUUGCAGAUGCUAAACAUUAAGAAUACUAACUACUCUUAUUAUACGCUUAAACUUGAAGAAACACCAAUAUAAAAAAUUCAAACUAUUCACACAACUUCGCUCUUUGCAUUCCCACCAAAAAGUCUCUAUUAAAUUAAGCCAUGUCCCAUACCAUAUUUUCUUGUUAAUAAGUCACCGUUAAUAGUUGUUAAAGCCUAAGAAAACACUAAAUUAACAAAACAAAUAAUUCACACUUCCCUCCUCGUUCCUCACAUUCUUGUCAACAAGUCGUCUUAAAGUUAAUAAUGUUAGCGUUUCUUAAGUAAAUAAAAAAAUAAUAAUAAUAA